This 147-nucleotide unclassified non-coding RNA is filed under the name soil metagenome. RNAcentral describes it as "partial internal transcribed spacer 1". The record is from RNAcentral.
UAAUAAGUGUUUUAUGGCACUUUUUAAAUCCAUAUCCACCUUGUGUGCAAUGUCAGUCGAUCUUCUCUUUAUGGAGAUCGACCAAACAUCAACCUUUAUUUUUUAACUCUUUGUCUGAAAAAUAUUAUGAAUAAACAAUUCAAAAUA